GCUGUGUGUUUUCAGGUUCGAGUGCUGAUGAGGCGCGGCUGCGACGCCAGGCACGGCAAGAUAUCCGUCGUGGGAAGCGUCCUGUAGAUUCAUCGUCUGUUGGAAGGAACGUUCGGCCUGUACUUGAAGAGCUGGUUGAUCCUUGUCUUCUUGCUGUUAGAGCUGCAUCUGACGUGGAAGUUUUGUGUCGUCCGUAUUUUACUGUUGGUUGGUUGUCUGGUUCCUCGCGUGGACCGACUCCUUCUGUUCUUCCUACACCUGUUGUUAGUCGUGUUGAUGCUGUUUGGAAUCGUCGGAAGCGAAGGAUUCUUCGAGAUUAUUACACCAGCAA
Triticum dicoccoides is the source of this 331-nucleotide long non-coding RNA. RefSeq lists it as uncharacterized. The record is from RefSeq and is a predicted model, not a curated record. Lineage: Eukaryota; Viridiplantae; Streptophyta; Magnoliopsida; Poales; Poaceae. The transcript has 3 exons.